Molecule: ribosomal RNA, 1480 nt
Filed under: Salmonella enterica subsp. enterica serovar Thompson
Lineage: Bacteria; Pseudomonadati; Pseudomonadota; Gammaproteobacteria; Enterobacterales; Enterobacteriaceae
Description: partial 23S ribosomal RNA
Rfam family: Bacterial large subunit ribosomal RNA
Source: RNAcentral
GGAAGACCAAGGGUUCCUGUCCAACGUUAAUCGGGGCAGGGUGAGUCGACCCCUAAGGCGAGGCCGAAAGGCGUAGUCGAUGGGAAACGGGUUAAUAUUCCCGUACUUGGUGUUACUGCGAAGGGGGGACGGAGAAGGCUAUGUUGGCCGGGCGACGGUUGUCCCGGUUUAAGCGUGUAGGUGUGUGUUCCAGGUAAAUCCGGUUCACUUUAACACUGAGGCGUGAUGACGAGGCACUACGGUGCUGAAGCAACAAAUGCCCUGCUUCCAGGAAAAGCCUCUAAGCAUCAGGUAACAUCAAAUCGUACCCCAAACCGACACAGGUGGUCAGGUAGAGAAUACCAAGGCGCUUGAGAGAACUCGGGUGAAGGAACUAGGCAAAAUGGUGCCGUAACUUCGGGAGAAGGCACGCUGACACGUAGGUGAAGUGAUUUACUCAUGGAGCUGAAGUCAGUCGAAGAUACCAGCUGGCUGCAACUGUUUAUUAAAAACACAGCACUGUGCAAACACGAAAGUGGACGUAUACGGUGUGACGCCUGCCCGGUGCCGGAAGGUUAAUUGAUGGGGUCAGCGCAAGCGAAGCUCCUGAUCGAAGCCCCGGUAAACGGCGGCCGUAACUAUAACGGUCCUAAGGUAGCGAAAUUCCUUGUCGGGUAAGUUCCGACCUGCACGAAUGGCGUAAUGAUGGCCAGGCUGUCUCCACCCGAGACUCAGUGAAAUUGAACUCGCUGUGAAGAUGCAGUGUACCCGCGGCAAGACGGAAAGACCCCGUGAACCUUUACUAUAGCUUGACACUGAACAUUGAGCCUUGAUGUGUAGGAUAGGUGGGAGGCUUUGAAGCGUGGACGCCAGUCUGCGUGGAGCCGACCUUGAAAUACCACCCUUUAAUGUUUGAUGUUCUAACGUGGACCCGUGAUCCGGGUUGCGGACAGUGUCUGGUGGGUAGUUUGACUGGGGCGGUCUCCUCCUAAAGAGUAACGGAGGAGCACGAAGGUUGGCUAAUCCUGGUCGGACAUCAGGAGGUUAGUGCAAUGGCAUAAGCCAGCUUGACUGCGAGCGUGACGGCGCGAGCAGGUGCGAAAGCAGGUCAUAGUGAUCCGGUGGUUCUGAAUGGAAGGGCCAUCGCUCAACGGAUAAAAGGUACUCCGGGGAUAACAGGCUGAUACCGCCCAAGAGUUCAUAUCGACGGCGGUGUUUGGCACCUCGAUGUCGGCUCAUCACAUCCUGGGGCUGAAGUAGGUCCCAAGGGUAUGGCUGUUCGCCAUUUAAAGUGGUACGCGAGCUGGGUUUAGAACGUCGUGAGACAGUUCGGUCCCUAUCUGCCGUGGGCGCUGGAGAACUGAGGGGGGCUGCUCCUAGUACGAGAGGACCGGAGUGGACGCAUCACUGGUGUUCGGGUUGUCAUGCCAAUGGCACUGCCCGGUAGCUAAAUGCGGAAGAGAUAAGUGCUGAAAGCAUCUAAGCACGAAACUUGCCCCGA